GGACGUGAAAGCAAUCUUGCUGUGAUGGCUGUCACCCCACUGAUUCCCAGGAUUGAUCUGGCUGAUCUGGCUGGCUGGGCAGGGUCCCUUCCUCCCUCACCACUCCACCUGUGUCCCUCUUGAAGCUACACUCUGAGUAGAAGAGGACAACCCACCCCAGUGACAGAAGGACAGUUUCCUUCUCAAGAGUACACAAGUAUCUCUGCUCCCACACUAGAACUACCAAACAAGCUCUCAGAAAAUUGUCACGAUAACUGUGGGCAGGAAAGAGAAACAGAUGCACCCUU
Cavia porcellus (domestic guinea pig) is the source of this 287-nucleotide unclassified non-coding RNA. Its record names the gene 7SK. It matches the Rfam family "7SK RNA". Rfam says of the family: 7SK was discovered as an abundant small nuclear RNA in the mid-70s but a possible function has only recently been suggested. Lineage: Eukaryota; Metazoa; Chordata; Mammalia; Rodentia; Caviidae. The record is from Ensembl.